This 263-nucleotide long non-coding RNA is filed under the name Phaseolus vulgaris (common bean). Its description in RNAcentral is "long non-coding RNA (PVUL_LNC001203)". The record is from RNAcentral. Lineage: Eukaryota; Viridiplantae; Streptophyta; Magnoliopsida; Fabales; Fabaceae.
CAAUUGGCUCGGCCUCAAUUCACUUUGUGAAGUACUCAAUGGCUACCACGAGGUACUUCAUGUGACGAAUUGCCAAAAGGAAAGUACCCAAGAUUUUUAUCCCCUAAGUAUGGAAAGGCCAUGGGCUGUAGAUUGACCACAACUCCUCAGGUGGUGUGUGGUGUCAAUCAGCAUGCAUCUGACACUGCUCGCAUUGUUGUGCAUGCCUCACACAAUCCUCCUUCAUGGUCGAUUAAUAAUACCCAACUCGGACGACCUUCAAC